ACACGGGACAACAGCAGACAACAGGUUAAGACACACGGGACAACAGCAGAGAACAGGGUAAGACACACGGGACAACAGCAGAGAACAGGUUAAGACACACGGGACAACAGCAGACAACAGGGUAAGACACACGGGACAACAGCAGACAACAGGGUAAGACACACGGGACAACAACAGAGAACAGGGUAAGACACACGGGACAACAGCAGACAACAGGUUAAGACACACGGGACAACAGCAGAGAACAGGGUAAGACACACGGGACAACAGCAGACAACAGGGUAAGACACACGGGACAACAGCAGAGAACAGGUUAAGACACAUGGGACAACAGCAGACAACAGGGUAAGACACACGGGACAACAGCAGAGAACAGGUUAAGACACAUGGGACAACAGCAGAGAACAGGGUAAGACACAUGGGACAACAGCAGACAACAGGUUAAGACACACGGGACAACAGCAGAGAACAGGGUAAGACACACGGGACAACAACAGAGAAAGACACAUGGGACAACAGCAGACAACAGGGUAAGACACACGGGACAACAGCAGAGAACAGGUUAAGACACACGGGACAACAACAGAGAACAGGUUAAGACACACGGGACAACAGCAGAGAACAGGGUAAGACACACGGGACAACAGCAGACAACAGGGUAAGACACAUGGGACAACAGCAGAGAACAGGUUAAGACACACGGGACAACAACAGAGAAAGACACAUGGGACAACAGCAGACAACAGGGUAAGACACACGGGACAACAACAGAGAAAGACACAUGGGACAACAGCAGAGAACAGGUUAAGACACAUGGGACAACAGCAGAGAACAGGGUAAGACACAUGGGACAACAGCAGACAACAGGUUAAGACACACGGGACAACAGCAGAGAACAGGUUAAGACACAUGGGACAACAGCAGAGAACAGGUUAAGACACACGGGACAACAGCAGAGAACAGGUUAAGACACACGGGACAACAGCAGAGAACAGGUUAAGACACAUGGGACAACAGCAGACAACAGGUUAAGACACACGGGACAACAGCAGAGAACAGGUUAAGACACACGGGACAACAGCAGAGAACAGGUUAAGACACACGGGACAACAGCAGAGAACAGGUUAAGACACACGGGACAACAGCAGACAACAGGGUAAGACACACGGGACGCUCUUGUGCAGAUUUCUACAAACUCCACAGUGACGGCUAAAUAGCUACAUUUUGUUAGCUUUAUUAAUAGUAUGUGGAGUGUCUGUACACAGUGCACUAUGGGUAGUAUUCUGUCAUAUGAAUGGUUUGUUUACAUGCAAGUCAUCAAUGGAUAA
Oncorhynchus keta (chum salmon) is the source of this 1328-nucleotide long non-coding RNA. RefSeq lists it as uncharacterized. The transcript is spliced from 3 exons. The record is from RefSeq and is a predicted model, not a curated record. NCBI's taxonomy places the organism in Eukaryota, Metazoa, Chordata, Actinopteri, Salmoniformes, Salmonidae.